Molecule: long non-coding RNA, 175 nt
Filed under: Dermacentor andersoni
Lineage: Eukaryota; Metazoa; Arthropoda; Arachnida; Ixodida; Ixodidae
Description: uncharacterized LOC126536745
Source: RNAcentral
GAAGGUUUCGUGAACGUCGGCUGCGGUGGUGUUUUCAUGUGUGAGACAGACCGUGCUGAUGCCAUGCCGUCCGGCGGUCCAAGCUACGGCAGCCACUGCUGUGUGUCGUGGUGCUUUGACAACGGCAGAACCCAGAAGAAGCCUAUCUUGCCUUGGAAUAAAAACAUUGCGGAAA